RNAcentral lists this ribosomal RNA (703 nucleotides) under uncultured eukaryote. RNAcentral describes it as "bacterial SSU rRNA". It matches the Rfam family "Eukaryotic small subunit ribosomal RNA", at positions 703 to 1467 of the family's 1831-position model. The record is from RNAcentral.
UCGCGUUAAGCACCGUAUCGUGUUUGGGCGCGCUAGGUACGUCCMUCAUGGGUCAGCCCUUGUUCKUGAAUAAUCAGAUGAUUAAUAUGACUACCGAACAGGUGCCAAGCUAAGCACAGGAAACAUCAUAUACCCGCCUAGCGGAGGAUAAGAGAAAAGAAUAAUCGAAGGGGUCAUGUACUUGGUGGCUAGCGGUAAAAUGCGGUGAUUCACCAAUGACAAACHAACUGCGGAGGCAUUUCCCUAGUCUAUUUCUGUAUGAUCAAGGAUGUAGGUGUAGGGAUCAAAUCGGAUUAGACACCCGAGUAGUCUACACAGUAAACUAUACCAAUUAGAAAUGUGGUGAGUUAUAAGUUUCAUUAUGUAUCUGGAUGGAAACAUCAAAUGAGGUCAUGGGGGGAGUACGUUUGCAAGGAUGAAACUUAAACGGAUUGACGGAAUAGCACCACAAGACGUGGAGCGUGCGGUUUAAUUUGAUUCAACGCAGGAAAACUUACCAAGGUAUGACAUGGAAAUGAUAGACAGGUUAAAAGGCCUUUCUUGAUUCCAUGAGUGGUGGUGCAUGGCCGAUCUUAGUUGGUGUUGUAAAAUGUCUGGUUAAUUCCGAUAACGAACGAGAUCCAAACUUUCARGUUGGCGUAUACAGCAAUGCUGUACUGCGGUCUCUUUGAAGGACUACUGACCUAAGUCAGGGGAAGUUUUG